GCUAUGCCCAGCUAAUCCAACAAUGACUGGCUGUGAAUGGAAAGUCCAAGAAUCCUGUAGUCACUCAGACCAUGAGGCUGGAUGUCUCACUUUGUCUCCCUAGAAUUCCAAAGAGGCUUCCAGCAGAAGAUGUGGCCAAGAUUAGAUCUGGGUUAAACAUCUGGAUUAAAGGUGUGUCUUCCUACUGCAAAGAUCCAGAUUAGAAGUAGAUCUCCCUACUUCACAUUAAGCAGGAAUCCUCCCAGAUCAGCAUCAUGGCUUCCUGCCUGCCACCAUGCUUUCUGUCAUGGUGAUCAUGGACUAACCCUCUGAAACUGCUCCACAGCGGGAUGGGAGAAGAAUGAAUGGGAAGUAGAGCAAUCAGAAGGUAUUACCCAGGAGAAAGCUGGAGGUAAGCAUUGCCAACUCUUCCAGACAGUUCUACAGUGUCACACAAGUCUCUCAGGACCUGGGGACAACCCGUGAAUGCUGUCCUGAUCAUCAGUGACGAAACC
Non-coding RNA from Myodes glareolus (Bank vole), 494 nucleotides. The record is from RefSeq and is a predicted model, not a curated record. Lineage: Eukaryota; Metazoa; Chordata; Mammalia; Rodentia; Cricetidae.